This 37745-nucleotide long non-coding RNA is filed under the name Ananas comosus (pineapple). RNAcentral describes it as "long non-coding RNA (ACOM_LNC009742)". Lineage: Eukaryota; Viridiplantae; Streptophyta; Magnoliopsida; Poales; Bromeliaceae. The record is from RNAcentral.
UAUAUAUAUAUAUAUAUAUAUAUAGAGUGCGGCUAGGAUGCUUAUGGAAGCACGGAGGGCUCCGUGCUUCCACUUUGUUUUCGAUGUUUGGACUUUCGAAUCGACGAUCGGCUCCGUUAGACUUGAUCUAGAGUAUUUGAAGUAUCUAGAAAAUAAAUUUUGCGAUUUUUCGAUAUCCUUUGACUAGUGAUCGAAGUGGCUCAAAAUUAAUAAUUUUAAUGGCCGUGGUAAGCCGGUUGCAAGUUUAACGGUGUAGAAAUAUCCAAAUCACAUGAAAUUUUGAUAAAAAAUUCUUUAUACCAUAUAAAACAAGAUCAAUAACUUUGAUCUAAAAUUUUAAUGUCAUAUCAUCAUAUUGAUGGUAUGACACUAAAAUCUCGACUCUCAAUAUAUAUGAGGGUCAGCAUUGAAUAAGAAGUGCCAAGAAGCUACUCUAUAACAUCUUAAGCUUUCCCAAAAAAAAAAAAAAAAGGAAAAAAGAAAAAACCAUUGUUUCACAAGCUAUUUCUCUAUCGAAAAGUAGAGCUUAUUAUAUACAAAAUAAUAAUAAAAUACCUUACCUAAACCAUACUACAUAACAUAUGCCAACUUCAUUAGAUUGGAUGAUACACUCAAAACUCUCUUUAUCAUUCAUUAAAUUGAAUUAUAGAUUUGAAAGAAGAGUCCUUCUCCUUUGCAAUUAGGAAAAGAAAUUAAAUAACAAUAGCAAUAAUUAAAAUGCUCAUGGAAAUCUCUAUUGUCAUCUAGGACAACAAAUAUGUAUGGUUUAUCACCUAACACUAAUUAUUUUUGCAAUGGUUCGUACAUUGUGUCGUUUUGUGAUUGGCCAACUAAUUUUGUUACUCAUAUAAAUAGCACAUUUUUGAACUUUUAAUUAGAAAUUUAUUAGUGCUAAAUGUGCGUAAUAUGAUUGGUUCACCCUCAUCUCCUAAGAUGAGAUUGGAUUCCACUCAAUUAGUGGUAUUUUAGUGCUAAAAUCUUACUUUAUAUAUUAGGUUUUCACAAAAGUUUCAAUUUUGUGCUCAUUUUGCAAAGAAGUUGAUUAGUGAUUAUGAUCCAUGCAUCAUAAGGUCAAAUCAAUUAAGAGAUUGUUUAUGUACUCCACUCUAACUCAUACUUUUAGGGCACACAAUUAUAUAAUGGCAAACUUAUUGAUAGGAGUAGUGCACAAUUAUAAUUUUUUAUUUUAGCUUUUUUUUUAAACAAAUUUCAUGUAUUUGCCUUUUGGCUUGCGAAUGCAACAUAGAAGUAGUAAAAUUUAUAUUUUUCUUUAAGAACUAUCAAAGUAUAGUGUUUCUCCAACAAAUGAAAUAUAAGAAACCUAUUGGUUGUUGCUCUCAUGAGAGGUUGCUAUUUUGAAUUCAAUAAUACAGUAUAAUUGGUCCUUUUCAUCUACACUCCUUUUGAAGUCACCAUAGAUCAAUAAUCAUGAGACUCUUUAUAAAAAAUGCACUAACUUUACAAUAUAUAUGCAUGUGUGUUCAAAUGCCUGAACCUCUUGUCCAGUAUAUCUUUUUUUCUUCUAUUUCCAAAUAAUAUUUGAUGGAUUGAGGGAGUGCCAUGAGAAAAUGCUCACGGAUAAGGAGGAAUUACAAAGGAUUAAGUAAUGUUAGUUCAAUGAUAAUAUGUGACACCCUAAUAGUCCUAUAUCGGAUAGUUAUGACUAGAAUAGUGUCACAGACUCCCCCCGUUUAAGCCCUGACGUCCUCGUCAGCCCUAAACACACACAUGGCCCAAGAUCUCUCCCCGUUUAGCCCUGGCGUCCUCGUCAGCCCUAAACACACACAUGGCCCAAAUCUCUCCCCCGUUUAGGCCCUGACAUCCUCGUCAGCCCUAAACACACACACGACCCAAGAUCAUCAGGCGAUGUGAGACUCGUCUCGUUAGCUUUUGUCUUAGUCCAUCAUUUCUCUCACACUUCCGACUGGUGAACUGGCUCUGAUACCAAAUAUAAUGAACCGAUCCGCUAGCAAUAAUAACUCGUUGGGCCCAACCACCGGCCCAAAAUACUUAAACCCAAUUAUUAUGUCUAACCUAUUCAAGUUUAUAUACCUUAAUUAAUGAGUUAUUAUUGUUAGCGGGUCGAAUCGUUACAUAAUUGUUAAUGAUUAGCCAACUCCUAUCCUGCAUAUAUUUACUUGAAUAUAUUGGGAUUUUCUAAGUUGUAAAGCAUUGAUUCUUGUCACUAACCUUUUUUUGGUUGGUUUUUGAGUGCGAAUGAUAAAUUGGUGAUAAUGUUAUUUUACAGUGGUGUAGUACAAUAAUUGAUAAGCAAUGUAAGAAUAAUGUAACACUAGUGAACGUGCGAGGGAAGUGUAAUGGAAGAUUACCUAAAAAGGCAAGUGAUCCUAUAUUCUCCUCCUUAGAACUUAGAUGACAAAUUAAUACAUUAACAUGCAUGUUACCUAACAUAACUAUUUUCUCAAUUAAAAAAGUGGCAUCAAUAUAUAAUAACAACAUAUUCGCAAACAAGAGUGAUUCAAAUGAAAAACAUGUCUAUUAUUUUCAAAAAGAAAAAAGAAUAGUCAAUUUUAUUGAAGCAUCAAAUGAAACUGCAUUGAGCCAGUUCAACCAACCUAUUAAAUUAAGAUCAAAUCAAGAUAAAAACUAAAACCCAACUGCAUCAAACAUAACUUGAUAUUUUGUAAAUUAGUUUCCUAUUCUUGAGAGUAUCUGAUUAUAACCUCGUCUACAAUAUAGGAUUGAGAAGCGCUUAUUUAGUUGUGUAAGUAUUUCAAAAGGAUGUUAAUAAAGUAUCACUACAACAAAAACGGUCUAUAGCGACACUUUUAAAUACAGGUACAUGUUAAAAAAGUGCUGCUAGCUAAAAUUACCAACACUUUUAAAAAGUGUUGCUAUAUGUGGGGUCACUAGGUAUAUAGUGACAGUUAAAGAGUGUCGCUAUAACCUAAAAAAGUGCUGCUAAUUUACCAACACUUAUUUAAGCAUUUAGCAACCGUCGAAACUCUAUCUCGUUGGCUGCGGUGGCGGAGGAGGACAACAGGAAAGGAUCUUCGUCUAGAAUUUCAGUGGAUUCAGUGAAGAGAGAAGAAAAGAUGGUAAUUGAGUUUUCUUUUUUUUUCUUUUCUGUUUGUAAUCGGGUCAAAUGGACUGGGUGUGGUGGGUUGAGUAGAGUAAUCUUUUAUUUUUGGUUGGAUUGGGCUUUAUAUUUAGGCAUAAGUAGAAGUUUUUUUUAGUUUUAGCAUAAAUUGGACACUUACUCAAAAGUGUUCCUAUCAUGUGCCCCUAUAACCUAAUUCUGUUGUAGUGUGUGGUCUUCUAAUUUCUUUAAGUUUUCACAAUACUCUAUUCUAAAGUUUAAGUCUAUAUGAAUGUAGGCCAAGAUCAUUAUUUGGAAUUAAAGGCUCCAUAUUCAGUAUCAACAUUUUCUUUUUGAAAAAGAUAUUGUCCUCUAUCAAGUUGGCAACUUUUACAUGAAUGCUUUGCUAGCUCAUUCUCCACCCAUGUGAACCACCCUCUCUCUCUCUCUCUCUCUCUCUCUCUCUCUCUCUACCACAUAUCUUAUAUACUAUGUAUAUAUACAGCCUAGUUUGUGAACAAACUUCUCGACUUAAUUUGUACAACCCUACGAAAAAAAUAAUUAAUUAUGCAAAAAAUAUUUUAUUCAGCCCAAACAAGCACUCAGUAUCUUCUAUAACUAAAAAAGAUUGUACAUGUUUUUUUAUCAUAAUCAGAUUACUGAACGAAAGGAUACAAAAUGUUUUUAUUAAUUCGAUUUAGUUAGGCAAAAAGAUUAAUAACUGACAAAAAUUAGCUAAACUAAAAUUAUUAAAAUAAAAUGAGGAGCGAAAAGAAGGUACGUACGCACUAUCCUUGAAUCAUCUUCGUACUAUCUCCACACCUAACACAUGCAAUGCCUGUGAGAACAUAUAUAUAUAUAUAUAUAGUACUGUUGUAUAUUAUUAAGAUUCUUACGUGGAAUCCAAUACCUAUCCUUCAAAAUAAAGUUAGUUGUCUCCACUUUUUUAUUCUGUACAAAGCCUUUUAAAUAUAAUAAUAAUACAUAUUUAAUGAUCAAUACAAUCUGAAAUGAUAUAUAUAUAUAUAUAUUUAUAAUUGAGUUAGAAUGCUUUUACAAGUAUUACCUCUAUGGUGCUAUUAGGUUUUUAGCUGUUGGAUCUACUUCUUAAUUAUUAAUAGCUCUUGGAUCGAACACUACUUCUUAAUUAUAUAUAUGAGUACGUCUUCCAUACUUUCGAAAGUACGGAGAUCUCCGUGCUUGUAAAUUAUUUUUGAUAAUAAGACAUCCGAUUCGACGAUCGGCUGCAUUAAAUAUAAGUUACCCUAUUGGAACUGUUUAGAAACCAAAAUUUAUAAUUUUUUAACAUCAUUUACCAAGCGAUCAAAAGGACUCAAAAAUGAUUUUUUUAAUGGCCGCGUUAUGACACGUUUUUAAGUUCAACGGUGUAGAAGUAUCCAAAUUACAUAAAAAUUUAAUAGAAAAUUCUACAUAACAUUAAUAACAAGAUCAAUACUUCCGAUUUAAAAUUUGAGUCAUUUAUCACUAUUUUUUAUGAGAUUUUCAUUUUCAGCCGUUCAUUUUGAGCCUACUCGUUCACUAAACAAACGAAGUCAGAAAAUUAUGAAAUUUAGUUUUUAGAUAGUUACAAUAGCGUAGAUCAUGUUUAACGGAACUGAUCGCCGAAUCGGAUGUCCCAUCAUCAAAAACAACUUACAAGCACGGAGGCCUCCGUACUUUCAAAAACAUAGAAGCCUAGCUAUAUAUAUAUAUAUAUAUAUAUAAAAUUGAGCUCCUAUGCUUUUAAAAGUACAAAGUUAUUGGUGCUUGUAGAUUUUUGGCCAUUGGAUUGAGGGAUGUGCGGUUAUAAUGAUGUGGGCCCCCUAGGGUUGAGUGUUUGUUGAAUAGUAUAAUCUAACGGUUGAAAAUGAUCAAAGGCGUAGAUCUAACGGUAAAAAUUUACAAGCAUAAAGUGCUUGGUGUUUUUACACGCACCAUACCCGGACUCUAUAUAUAUAUAUAUACACCGUUAAACUACCAAGUAUUUCAUGCCGGCCGUUAAAAAUUGUCAAUUUUGUGAGCUGUUGAUCGUAAGGUAAAUGAUGUCGAAAAAUUAUAAAAUUUGAUUUCUAGAAGUUUUAAAUGCUCUAGAUAAUGUUUAAUGGUGUGGAUCAUCAAUUCAGAAGCUCUAUUAUCGAAAACAACUUAUGAGUACGAGGGCGAUCAUACUCAUAAUAGUAUAGUAGCCGGACUCAUAUAUUAGUAAGGCUACUAUACUCUUAUGAGUAUUGGACCCUUCAUACUCAUAAGUUGUUUUCGAUGAUGGGGUUUCCGAAUCGACGAUCCACUCUAUUAAAUAUGAUCUAGAGUAUUUGAAACUUCUAAAAAAUAAAUUUCGUAAUUUUUCGAAAGCAUAAUAAAGUCCAUCAAACGGGCAUAAAAUAAACGGUCAAAAUCGAACGACGUUCUAAACAUGGAUAAUCGGAUUCUUCAAUUUAAGAUCGAAUUUAUUGAUCUUUAUCUAGAUAGUGAAUAGAAUUUUCUAACAAAAAUUCAGCCUAUUCCAAUUCUUUUACACCGUUAAACUACCAAGUAUCCCAUACCGGCCGUUAAAAAUUGUCAAUUUUGUGUGCUUUUGAUCGUAAGGUAAAUGAUGUUGAAAAAUUAUGAAAUUUGAUUUCUAAAAAUUUUAUAUGCUCUAGAUAAUAUUUAACGGUGUGGAUCGUCAAUUCGGAAGCUCUAUCAUCGAAAACAACUUAUGAGUACGAGGGCGAUCGUACUCAUAAUAGUAUAGUAGCCGGACUCUCUCUCUCUCUCUCUCUAUAUAUAUAUAUAUAGAAUUAGGCUACUAUACUAUCUAUAGUACCGGAGCUCCGGUACUAUAGUCUUGUUUUCGAUCUUAAGGUGUUCAAAUUAACUAUCCACACCGUUAAAUAUGAUUUAGGGUAUAUGAAGUUCUUAGGAAUAAAAUUUUAGUUUUCUUCAACAUCGUUUAUUUAGUAAAUAAAUUAUGUCAAAAUGGAUGGCGAAAAUUGAAUAAUUUUUUAAAUUUGAGCAUAGAACUUUUAAAUUCAAGAUCAAGAAUGUUAACCUUAAUCUAGAUUGUUUAAAGUAUUUUCUAUCAAAAUUUGAAGAAAUUUAGAUUCUUCUACACCGUUAAACUCCAAACUCGCUAUAGUAGUCAUUAAAAAUUGACAAUUUUGAAAUGGUUUGAUCAUAAAGUAAACUAUAUCGAAAAAAUAUAAAAUUUUAUUUCUAAAAACUUUAAAUACUCUAGAUCAGUUUUAACGGUGUGGAUCGUUGAUUUGAACACCUUAAGAUCGAAAACAAGAAAAUAGUACCGGAGUCCCGGUACUAUAGAUAGUAUAGGAGACCAGCUCUAUAUAUAUAUAUAUAUAUAUAUAUAAUUGAGCUCCUAUGCUUUUAAAAGUAUCAAGUCAUUUGUGCUUAUAAGUUUUUAGCCCUUGGAUUAAUAAAUGUGCGGUUAGGAUGAUGUGGGCCCCCUUGGGUUGAGUGGAUGGUUGAUUGAAUAGUAUAAUCUAACGGGUGAAAAUGAUCAAAGGCGUAGAUCUAACGGUACAAAAUUCACAAGCACCAAGUGCUUGGUACUUUUACAAGCACCGUAGCCGGACUAUAUAUAUAUAUAUAGUUGAGCUAGAAUACUAUUGGUAGCAAGCGAGCUCCAUUGCCACCCAUUUAUUUUCGAUGAUGGAGCCUCCAAAUCGGCGAUCGACACCGUUGAAUAUAAUCUAUAGCAUUUGAAGUAUCUAGAAACCAAAUUUCAAAUCUUUUCGACAUUAUUAACCUAAUGAUCAAAGGGUUUCAAAAUUUAUAAUUUUAAUGGUUGCUAUGAGGUAUUUUCUCGUUUAACGGUGUAAAGAUAUUCAAAUCAAUUGAAUUUUAGUUAGAAAAUUCUUUAAACUAUUUAGAACAAGAUCUAUACUCUCGAUCUUGAUUAUAAGAUUCCUAUCAUCAAUUUUUAAAGAAUAUUCAUUUUCAGCCGUUCAUUUUGUGUCCACUUGAUGGACAAGAGAACAAUAUCGGAAAAGUAUGAAUUUGAUUUCUAGAUGCUUCAAGUGGUAUAAGUCAUGUUCAAUGAUGCCGAUCGUCGAUUCGGAGGCUCCAUCAUCGAAAACAAAUGGGUGGCAACGAAGCUCGUUUGCUAUCGAUAGCAUUCUACCUCAACUAUAUAUAUAUAGCAGGACUGCUGUGCUCUCAGGAGUACGGAGUCCUCCGCGCUCCUGAGCCGUUUUCGAUGAUGAAAUUUUCAAAUCGACGAUCGGGUUUGCUAGACUUAAUCUAGCGUAUUUGAAGUUUCUAGAAAAUAAUUUCUGCGAUUUUUUGAUAUCAUUUACCUAGCAAUCAAAGAAUUCAAAAUCAAUAUUUUUUAAUGGUUGAUAUCUGCCGUUUUCAAAUUUAACGGUAUAGAAGUAUUCAAAUCAGAUGAAAUUUUAAUACAAAAUUUUUUAUACUAUCUAUAACAAGAUCAAUAUUUCUGAUCGGAAAUUUUAGUGCUGUAUCACCACUUUUUAUAGAAUUUUUAUUUUCAACCGUUAAAAAUUAUUGAUUUUGAAUCUUUUUGAUUGCUAGAUAAAUGAUAUUGAAAAAUCGCAAAAAUUAUUUUCUAGAAACUUCAAAUACGCUAGAUUAAGUCUAACGGAACCGAUCGUCGAUUCGAAAAUUUCAUUAUCAAAAACGGCACAAGAGCACGGAAGUCUCCGUGCUCCUGAGAGCACAGCAGUCCUACUCUAUAUAUAUAUUGAUUAGAAAAGAACUUAUACAUCUCAUACCCAACUUUGCAGCUGAAGUCUGCUGCACCUAGUUCUGGAGAAAGAACAAAAAUAUUUUAAAUAAGAUUUCUAUUCUUUCCAAAGAUAUCGAACCGACAAGCUCCAUUUUCGAAUCAUGCAGCAUAUAUACUUGAGCAUCUGACCAUAGCAAAAACGAUGAACUUGUGCUCAAAAAUAUUACAAAAAUUCUGAUAAAGGCUUAAGAAAAAGGCUUAACGUUGGCAAUAAAUUCUACAACUUAAUUUCAAUUAAGAUGAUUUUACAUCUUUCCUCAAUCACUCUCUGCAAGCAAAAUAUCCAUUGUGCAUGCAUUUUUUGGUAUUUUUUACGUGAGACCCUGAUAAUCUUAUAUAUAAGAUAUAAUAGAGCUAAAACUUUUAAUUCGGUUUAAAUAUUUUGGAUGGUGGAUAGACCCAAAGUGUUAAAAGAGUUAAGCAUGCUAGGACGGGAGUAGUCCUAGAAUAGAUAACCUCCUGGUAAGUGGGGCGUCACAUUUUAUAUGCUACAUUGCUAUCUAGAAAUUAUAGAAAAAAGAUACUUCUAAUAAAACAUAUAUAAAAAGGCUUUUUUCUGCAUUUGAUCCUCUCAAAAAAAUUAUUUUCACAAAUAGCCCCAUCAAAUUUUAUAAUCGCUAUUUUAGCCCUAUCCCUACCACGAGCAAGAAUGGUGGAUGUGGAAUUAUUUGAACACGAUAAAUAAUUCACCAUGUCUAGUGUAUUAUAUUACUUGCGCGCGGGGUCAAUAUAUUCACUGAACAUAGUGAACCAUUCAAAUUAUUUAGACUCGGUGAAUGAAUUAUCAUGUUCAACUUAUUCCACAUCCCCACCCCUGCUCACAUGGCGCUGACGUAACUGCGUGGCGGGGAUAUGACCAAAAUUGUAAUUAUAAAAUUAGUAGGGCUAUUUGUAAAAAAAAGCCUUUUUGAGGGUGCCAAAUGCAAAAAAAAAAAAAAAAAAAAAAAAAAAAAAAAAAAAAAACCCUAUAUAAAACAUGUUUUUAAAGUAAAAAACAUAUAUAUAGUACAUGAAUGUUGCAUGACACAAUUAAUAGUUAGGUAUAUUAGGAGGCCUAAUGAGACAAUUUGCAAAGUAAGUUACUUUGUAAAAAAACUUUUGUUUAAAUUAAUGUAAUAACGUACCAGUUAUGGAACAAUAAACAUUUUUUACACCUCCACUUUGCGGUCAACGUGCAAGAAAUUAAUGGAAAGGUAUCUUAAUUAAUUAUUGGAUGAGUUAAAAUUUUGUUUUACAUGGCCAAAAAAAAAGAAAAAAAAUAGUCGCUUUCUUAACUAUAUCUAAUUGCGUACGUAUGUGUUUGAGUUAUAUAAAUUGUUCUUCCAUUUAGAUUAAGAAUGAAUACGUACACCUUAUCCUUCAUUAUCACACUUUCGGUACAACUCAUCCUUCUUAAUUUAAACCAUGAAAUUAAUCUUAUGAUGAAGCAACCCUCCGUGAAUAAAUAAGUCACUAAUUCUUGAGUGCAUGGUUUAGUCAAAAUCAUUUCCAAAUGGCUAUAAUAGAAAGAGCCACCUUAAAAAUAAAUAAAUAAAUCAUCAUGGUUGAGUUACAACUCACAAAUAAUAAUUGCGUUGGGCAUCUUGGUUGAGUUACAACUCAAAAAAAAUAAAGUAAAAUAAAAUAAAACAAUCAUGUUGAAUGUCUCGAUUGAGUAACAACUCUAAAAUAACAACAUAGAGUCGGUGAUCUUCGUUACCAUUUUUUUAAGGUUAUAAAGAGCAAUAACAUUAUAUGUUAAUUGCGUGCGUUGGGUGUAUUGGUUGAGUUACAACUCAAAAAAAAAGAAAUAAAACAAUCAUGUUGGAUUUCUUGAUUGAGUAACAACUCAAAAGUAACAACAUAAAGUCGAUGAUCUUGAUUAAACAUUUUUUUUUUAAGGUUAUAAAUUAAUUAAGAGCAACAAAAUUGUAUGUUUACUCCUACAAAGUUUUAGUUAUCAAAUUUAUUACUCCAAGAUAGCAUAGUUUGCAAAUAUAUCCCUCUAUACUAGUAAACCAAUUAAAGUUGACUUUUUUAAAGGCUAAAUUACAGCAAACCUUCCUGUCAAAACUCAAUUUUUCACUUUUUUUAUCAUGUCAUUUAAAAGCAUAUAUACUUUGCCCCUUUAUAAAAUAAAAAAUGUUCACUUCACCUCUCUGCCGUCAGUGAUCCGUUAAAGUUUCGUUAUAAAAUAUUUUUUAUGCCAAAAAUAUCCUCUGCCCUCUUUACUGUGCUUUGCUCUCCUCCGCCUCGCCGCCUCGCCCUCCUCCACUGCCUCGGCCUCGCACACAUCCCCGUCCGUACCCACAACGAUUUCCUCCCUACUGUCGCCAAAAUGGAGAGGCGAUAAGGGUGCGGAAGGAGAAGAGAAGCAGGUGGAGAAAAAAAUGGAGACGAACCGCGGCCGAUCGAGGCAGCGGAUGAGCAAGAUGAGGGAGGAGACGAAAAUGGUGAAGGAAAAAAUGGUCAUUUUGUCAUCACAGCUCACACCAUACCUCUCGUGAACAUUUUUUUAUUUUACAAGGAGACAAAGUGUAGGUUUUUAAAUGACAGGGAGGAAAGUGAAAAAUUGGAUUUUAACAGGAGGAUUUUAUAUAAUUUAACCUUUUUAGAAUACAAAGUAACGAUUUCAUCCUUAAAUAAAUAUCUUUUUAAUUAUAUUUGAAAUUAUGUGUCAAUUUCAAUAUUUUUAUUCUAACUUUUAUGUCACUCAAUGUAAAUCAUAAACUAUAGUUCUACAAAAGUGUUUAAAGCGGUUGUCUUUUUAUAAGGGAUAACGUUUCAAAUGGUGAAAAUAACGUUUCAAACGGUGAAAAACAAUCGGUGGUAUUUAAUAUGUAAAAAUAAAUUUAUAUAUUUUGAAGCUUUAAAGAGAGAUACAUUUGAUAAUUAAAACUUUACAAUAACUUAUCUCCAANAUAUAUAUAUAUAUAUAUAUAUAUAUAUAUAUAUAUAUAUAUAUAUAUAUAUAUAUAUAUAUAUAUAUAGACCGGCUGAGAUGCUUCUAAUAGCACCAAGUACUUGGUGAUGCUAAGUUUUCCACCGUUAGAUUUAUCAUUUUGAUUAUUUUUAACCGUUAAAUCAUAUUAUUCAACCAAUCACCCACUCAACUCUAAUGAACUAUUAUUUUUCUAACUAGAGACUCCUAUCAUCCUAACUGCAUAUCCCUUCAUCUAGCGAUCGAAAUUUUAUGAAUACAAAUGAGUAUAUGCUUAUAAGAGUAUAGUAACCUUACUCUAUAUAUAUAUAACCUUGCAAAAACAAAAAUAAAAAAGCUAAAUUACAGAAAACCCUCUUGUCAAAAUCCGAUUUUUCACUUUCCCUUCCUGUCAUUUAAAAACCUACACUUUACCCCUUGUAAAAUAAAAAAUAUUCACAGAGGGAGUACGAUGUGAACUGCAAUGAUAAAAUAACUAUUUUGCCCCUUACUAUAUUCACAGGAGAGAAGGCUGAGGGUAUUUUUAGCAUAAAAAAAUAUAUAAUAAUAUUUUAUAAACGAAAUCCUAACAGAUUACUAACUGCAGGGGGCGAAGUGAAUAUUUUUUAUUUUACAAGAGGGCAAAGUGUAGGUUUUUAAAUGACAGAAGGCAUAAGUAAAUUUUGACAGGGGGUUUUAUGUAAUUUAGUCAAAUAAAAACAUAUAGAUGCCCUAGUGUGAAUGGUGUGAGGACAAAAAAGUAAGGGACUAAAAAGCAAAGAUAGAAAGCCUAUAAAUAUACAUAAAGCUAUCCUGGUCACAUGGAUUGGUGUUCUUCUCCUAAUAAAAAAGUUACUUGAUAAAGUUUAAACCUUAUUAAUUUAUUUAGAAUAAUAAUAUAGAAGUAAUGCUUUAUUAGGAAGGACAUAGCUUUACGAAGGACUAAAUGUCAUUGUCUUUAGCUAUCGCCACGGUGCACUUGUUCAUAUUUGCUUGUUGUUUUUCAUGCGAUCUUAUUUUGAGAGAUAAUAAUAAUAAUAAUAAUAAUAAUAAUAAUAAUAAAAUCAUAAAAUCGUGUAAUUUGAUUUUUAGAAAGUUCGAAACAAUCUAGAUAAUAUUUGAUGGAAUCGAUCGUCAAUUUAGAUGCUCCUUUUAAAAAAAAAAAAAUGAAAGUAAAUUAACAUGCUUACUCCUAGAAGCAUUUUUAUGCCUAAUGAUACAUCUCAUAUGCAUUCAAAAUGGGUCCUAAAGAAGACAAUUUAAUUUCCUCUGUAAGUCUCUUCUUUAUAACGAAAAUUAAAUUAAAAUUAAAUUUCAAUAAAAAACACUAAAAUUGAUCAUUAAUCUUUCGAAUGUAAGCAUUUGAUUUUGAAUUAUACAGGUGUUUCAUUGUGAAAGUAACAACAUUACUAUCACAUUAUUAGUGUCAAAUAUUUAUUUCAGAUUUAAAAUAUGAGGACAACAAAAGAGAAAUUUAUCAAAGUUUAGGAACUAUCAAUGUAUUUUAGUUAAUAAUAUUUAUCUAAAAGAGCACAUCACUAAUAUACUACUAAUAUACUAGCAUCUUUUCUUUUCUUUUCUUUUCUUUUCUUUUCUUUUUCUUUUUUUUUGUGGGGCUUUUAAUAUGACAUGGCAAAUCACAAAAGGAAAGGAAAUGAAAUGGGAAAGACAUUCAGCACCCACUACCUCCCUAUGGAUUUUAUUUUAUCUUUAAAAAAAAUAAUGCAAAUCUUACACUUUUUUUUAAUCCAAAGUUCUUUAUUAAGCCUUUAUUUUUAUCAAAAAAAAAAAUUAAAAAAAUUAAAAAUUUAAAGAGUUUUAAAAUCCUAGAGUGAAGAGCUGAAACACUUACAUCCCUUUUCGGACGUACCAAUAGCAUUUAUCUUUAAAAUUAUUAUUCAAGUUUAAAAAUGAGAUAAAAUUAUCUGCACAACACAAUUCUGUGACAAAAGAACAACACCAGAGAGGGUUAUGUGACAUCCCAAUAGUUUCGUCGCAUCAAACGGAAAAGAAAUUAUACAUGAGAAUGUAAGGAUCAUGAAUUUUAAUACUAAUAACUGAUUAUUACUGCUAGCAGGUUAGGUCAUCACAUUUGGUGCCAAAUUGCCAGUCGACAAUAUGAGAUAGAACACACAUCGUGCAGUGAUUUUGGACUGGAAAAUGAAACCUAACGAUAAUACUCAUAACUAAACUUAAACAUUUUGGACCAGCAAAUUGUUAGUAAGUACUUGUAAGCUGAGUCAUUACAAUUUAUAUAAAACAAAAAUAAAUUGUUCAAGUAUUCCUAUAUUAGCUGAUCUCAAAUUGCUCUAAAGGUUAGAUAGGUGGAAAGCUUUUUUGCUGUCAUUUAUUGAACACCAGAAGAACAGAAUUAGUACUGCACAAGCAAAUCUAACAAGAUACUAAUUCCCAUAUUAUAAUAUAUUGAUCCUAAACCCCAGAGGCCACCACAAAAUUAGUGGAAUCCCUUGCUUUCCAACUUUGAUAGUGGGCCAAAAACAAAUUCCUCAACAAUGAACACAAUGCAUAUAUAUAUACAAGUUGGUUACUCCAUUAUUUGCUUCAUUGAACAUACCAUUCCUUGUUAAAUUCCCCAACCACCCCCCCUUUCUCCAGCUACUCACACAAGAGGAACCAGCCACUGAGAAGUUGAGGAUCUUCAGAUUUCAGGUGUUGUAAUGUUGAUAGAUACAUUCCCUUGGUUGAGAUUUUGCCCUGUUUUUUUUGUGUUGGUGUUCUUUUUUGGGCCAUUUGCUACUGAAUUAUCACAAAUUGCACUAACUUUUAGAAUAACUUCAUCUCUGUCUAAUUGGCUCAUCAUUCUGAUCACCAUUCUGCAACUCAAGAGUAAAGUUAGGCUUUUUUUCUCAACUCCUUCCACCUUUUACUAAUUAAUUUGAAUUCCUAAGUAGGUUGCCAACAUGAAGAACAUGCUCCCUCUUUCUCUCUCUAUACAAUAUCAGUGAGAACAACCAACCCCUCUCACCCUCUUUCUCUCUUAAUUGUUUUUCUUUUGCUAUGACAUUUUGAUACUAAGCCAAUCAGUCACCUUCUCUUCCCAAUUCCACUCUAAGAAAAAGUCCGAAUCAAAUUUAAAUUUGAUUUUAUGUUUUUAACCUUUUUUUUGGGCUUAUUGUGUGUACAGGGAGGGCUUAGGAUGGGGGGAAAUGAAACUGGGGAGAGCACAACAACAUCAACAGCAACAGCAACAACAACAACAAGAGAGGUGAAGUAUCAGAAGAGCUACUUUGAUGUUUUGGGGAUCUGUUGCCCUUCAGAAGUGCCCCUAGUAGAGAAAAUAUUGAGGCCAUUAGAAGGGGUUCAGAAGGUCUCAGUGAUAGUUCCUUCAAAGACUGUUAUAGUUGUGCAUGAUGGCAGCCUCAUCUCCCCUGUUCAGAUUGGUAUGCAUGAAUCUCUCUCUUGUUCAGUCUGGGGUCUUCUUUAUCUGUCUAAAGAGCUCAAGUUGGCUUGUUAGUUAAGUUUUACUGCACAAGAAGUUAACCUAAAAAAUAAAAAGAAAAAAGAAAAAAGGGGGAGAGAGAGAGAGAGAGAAAGUGAGAAGUUUGAGUAAUUUUUGUAUUUGGUCAGUUAUAUCCAUCAAAUCGAUCUUUCCAGUAACAUAGUAUCAAACCAAGUUCUAAGAUCCACGGAUCCAAAUAUUAACAAUAUUUAGUUAUAAUGUUUAGCAUGGCCGAUGUGAUCUCCAGCGUGCAAGUGAGCAUGAAUGUUAAGACUAUUCUCAGGCAUUUCCUAUCAGAUUAAUUUGUUUGCUGACCGAAAAUAGCUCCCGAGAGGCUUCCCUACUCAAAAAGUAGAAGCCAAUUAGCAACCAAAAAAGAUUCGGGUUCAAAAAAUUACAAGCGACCCUAAAAGAGCUCACACUAAUCAAAAUAACAUUUCUACAGAAACUCAAGCCACACCAAAAGAAAAAAUAGUCCCAAGACAACCAAACAAGCUUUUUUAUGUUAUUCAAUGAGGCUUUGGUUUGGAGGUCUCCAAAGUAGAAGAAUUUGGUUAAGGCUCUCUAGAGGAAAAGAUCAUCAAAUAAUUAAAUAUUUGGUUUUUUUGAUGAACCUCACUGUUGGGACCAAACAAGCACCACAAAGACCUCUAACUGCACCAAAAGCUUGAUUUUUUGAAAGCUACUGGACCUGCACAUUUAAGUUUGGCAGAUGUUACAACUUAUUUAAUCAUUAGGUAGUCAUUUUCCAGGGCUCUAUAAUUAAUUUUGAAGAGAAAAAAAAUUAAGUGGGAAGAGGGGGUAGAUGAAGAGCAUUAAUUGAAAUCUAAAAAUAUCCUUGGUUAUAUGGUCUCUCUCUCUAUUCUUGACUAUUGGCUAAGUUGCCUGAAUCUUUUACCUGCAGUGUUUCACUUGAAUUGAUGUUCUAAACAGUGUAAUCCAUAAAAAUGAAUUGUAAUAUGCACUGCUUAGUAGAUCGGCAUUUGAAUCCAUGAAUCACCCUUUGAUCUGAUUUUAACUUUCAUCAGUCAAGGCUCUAAACCAAGCCAGGCUCGAAGCCUCGAUUCGAGCUUACGGGGGCGGCAGAAUCAUCAACAAAUGGCCGAGCCCGUAUAUAAUUGCGAGCGGUCUGCUGCUUCUCGUCUCGCUGUUCAAGCGAUUCUUCCGUCCCCUGCAAUGGCUAGCCUUGGCAGCAGUCGUGGUCGGGCUGCCGCCGAUAGUAUUGAGAAGCAUCGCCGCCAUUCGGAGAUUAACUCUGGAUAUCAACAUUCUCUUACUGAUUGCAGGUACAGGACCUCAUCCUUUGAUUCCCCUUAAAGGCUUUAUGAUGACAUCUUAAGUGCAAUUUGGUACUACUUAUCUUCUAAUAAAAGAACACAUUCCAAAGAACAAUGAAAAGCAUAGGAUUCUAUUUCUAGGGAUCUAGGGGUGCAUAAAUUGCUCAGGUUAAGCACAAACAAGACAAUUCCCCAUUGCACUUUAGCUCCGGUCUCAAUUACCCCCACUGCAUAAAAGAAAUCGCAUCAAUUACCCUUCCACAUUUUAUCAUUAUCUCAAACAGGUCCAGGUAUUUACGAUAAUUGUUGAAUUCAGUUAUAAAACUUUGUAAAAAGAAAUGUGCAGUUAAAGUUAUCUAUCAGUAAUGCAGUAGAAUCUUAUAAAAUGAAUAAAUUUCUCAAUAAACUAUCAAUUUUGAUAGUAUUAGUAAAAUAAUAGAUAUCCUUUAUCUAGAUUUUUUUAUAUAAUUUUUAAGUUAUAAAUUGGAUAUAUGUUGAGAUACAGAACAAUGUGAUAUCCCAGUUCGUUUUAGUAAAGUUUUAUAGCCUAAUUUCCGAAUUGUUUAAAUUUUUUAGAUCUAUUUAAGAUGAUAAUCAAGCGUAGGGUGACAUUUUAAUGUGGUGGGGUAAUUAAGACAAGCACUAAAAUGCAAUGAGGCUUUUUAUUAUUUACCCAUGUUUUUUCCACAAUAAAUGAUGGGAAAACUUCAAAAAACCCCCCUGUGGUUUGGUAGUUUCUCACUUUGUCCCCCUGUGGUUUAAAGUGUAUUAAUUUGCCCCCCUGUGGUUUCGUUUUUAUCUUUUCGGUAGCUUUUUCGUUAAUAUUUCAUUAAAUUAUAUACAAAAAACUUCAGAUACCCAUCUAGAUUUAUCAAAUAUUCACUUUAGUACCCUUUAAUUUUAACUUUAUCACUGAUUUAAGAAAAAAAAAUAAUGAAAUUGAUAAGAAAAAGAGAAAAAAGAAACCACAGGGGGGCAAAUUGAUACAUUUUAAACCACAGGGGGGCAAAGUGAGAAACUAUGAAACCACAGGGGGGUUUUUUGAAGUUUUCCCAUAAAUGAUUAAACACAUCAUGCACUUUUCUUAUUUUCCUUCUAAGAAAAAUAAUUAUUUAGAAGGUACUAAAGAUGCUAUUAAGAUUAUGGUAUUGGAGAGCAAGGUUGUCAUUAGCUCCAUAAUGUUAAAGUUAAUGAUUCUGCAACAAAAAUAAAGAAUUCCAAGUUGAGCAUAGUAGGAAUCACUACAAACACAAGUCACAAUUAAGGGUGGACCAAUCCAUGAUGCAAAAAGAGAUCACUUUUACUUUUUUUUUAAAUGCAAAAAAUGUAGAAAAACCUAGUAUUGCACUCUUAACAUAAUUAAGAAAGGGGGAUAAUCUUAAUCUCAGGUGAGAUUCAUACUUUUAAAAUCUAAAACCUAUAAAAAAUAUAUAUAUAUAUCAAGUUUCAUAUCCAACUUAAACCUAAAAAACCCGAAUUCGACAGAACUAUAAGAUCCGUGUCAAGAUCCGAACCUAAUUAGUGGUUAGCUAUGAGAUCCAUGUUAGGAUCAAACCUAAUUGCACAUCAUCCUCUUAAGUUAUUUUUCUUAAAGUAUGAUUAAAUAACCUUGUAAAUGGAACGCAUUAUCCUAAACAAUCAUGACUAUACGGGUUUUAUAGCUGAUUAAAAAGAAAAUGUUUGUGCAACAAAAGUCAUCAUUUGAUCAAAUUUUUAUUAACUAAAUAUUUUGUAAGAUCAUAUAACUAGCAGGGAUACAAUAGUAGCCAAAACUCGUAAGACGAAUACCUUGGGGGGUUAGGUCUCGGAAAGCCAACCAAGAAAUCUGAGGUUCAAAGUUUGAAACUUACUGUACCUAGCGCGGUUGGCUAAGGGCUUGAUGGUCGGUACCCAAGGUUCCAAGUUCGAAGCUUAGUUGCUUCACAUUUCUAACUACAUUUAUUUCUAAAAUAAAAAGAAAAUAAAAGAAGCAGUAGCUUGCAAUCUUUAAUAAGCUGUAGAAUGUUGUGUCAGGUGUGGGACUCACAGACAAGUCUAAAAAAAAUAAAUAAAAGUGAAGUAGCUCCAAGCUGGAGAACUACACCACUUAGGGGGGGCUCCCAAUUGCUCUAUCUGCGAUUUUCCUAUCUCCUAUAUUGAAAUUUUUUUUUAUACUUUUUUCACUUUACUAGAUGAAAUUUCAACAUGAAAUCAUAGUCUUUCAAUCGAAGAAAAAAAUUACCUUAGUCUUCCAUUUCUAGACCGUUCUAUUCCAGUAGUUCGACCGUCAAAUUUUAUUUGUUUUGCUAUUUUCAGAAUACGGAAUGUGACUUACUAUUAUUGAUCUAAUUGAUAAUACAUGGAAUGGACCUGUUAUCUCUAUCAAGAUGAGCUCAUGAUAUGCUCAGGUUCAUGGAAUAACUGUCAAUGGGUGCCUGUCAUUUGUGAUUUGCUUGCCUUGGUGGAAUGGGAAUAGUCCAACCUUUAAAGUUAUAAUACAUAUAUAGAGAGAGAGAGAGACCACAUGAGACACUUCUAAUAGCACCAAGCAUAUGGUGCUUUUUCGCCAUUAAAUUUACCCUUUGAUCAAUUCUAUCUUUUAAAUCAUGCUAUACCAACCAACAAUCAAACCCUAGAAGACCACUAUCAUUUCAACCCUAUAAUUUUUCACCCAAUAGUUAUAAAUUUGGUAGUAAAAAGACACGAAUACUAUUAAAAAAUAUUCUAAGUCAAUUAUAUAUAUCACCUUUUGGAGUGCUCAACUUGAGUUUUAUUAAAGAGGGUUUGUUCCCUCUAUAUAGAUACUGUGGUUAAGUACCACAACGUAAUUUCCCAACACCAAGAGGUUUGGAUUCCAAUAUUCCAACAUGUUGAAAGCACAAAAUGAUUUUAUUUUCUCUUUUUUAUUUCUUGGUAUGGAAUAAUUAACAUAAGGUGUGGCAUAACUAUCAACUGCACUAGCAGUAAAGGACAAAGUCUGAGAGAUGCUUACCCUACUUGCGUGAAUAAUUUUAGUGUAAAAAUGUACUGAGAUCCCCUCAACUAUUAGUCAUUUUGAUCUUUAGAUUAUUUUUCCAAAUUCGGCUUUAUAUGCAAUAAAAUUAAGGAUUGAUGACAUCUAAAUUCCAUCUGCUAAAAUGUAAUCUAAACUUUUAAAUUCAACAAAAUGAUUGUUAACUUUAGUAAAUUUUUAGAUUAAUCAAUAAAAAUAACUUAACCAAAGAAAUUAAAUAUUGAAGGGACAUAAAAAAAAAAAAGAAAAUAGUUGAGGGGUCUCUGUACAUUUUUAUCUCAUAAUAAUUCAUAUCUUUCAAACUUUCACUUCCACAUAUAUUGCCAUGUGAUAAAGAUUAAUUGUUUAUUUGAUUUGCUUCAUUUUUUUGGGUCCUAGUAAGAGAUAAAUUUUUUAAAGUUAAGAUUAAAUUAUGGUUUUUCUUGUUUCUUAAAUUAUGUGUAUUUGGCAGUGGGUGGAGCAAUUGCUCUCAGGGACUACUCAGAAGCAGGGUUUAUUGUGUUUCUCUUUGCCACAGCUGAAUGGUUGGAAACAGUGGCAAGUCACAAGGUCUCUAUCAAUCUCUCUCCCUCUCUCUCUCAAUCGCACACACACACACACACACACUUUUAAUUUCUUUUUUUUUUUUUGGUAAAAAUGUAUGGAGACCCUCUCAACUAUAGGCAGUUCUGAAAGUGACCCCCAACUUCAAUUUUUCUAAUUUACACCCCCUUUAAUUUUUUUUUUUCAAUUGAAUUACUCUAGUUAUUUAACUUAAAAAUCUUGUUAAAUUUAAUGGCUUAAUUAGCUAUUACCAGUUGAUUAAUCAAGCUUUAUUCCUCACACUCUUCUAAGGCCUAGUUUGAUAACAUAGUAACUAAAAGUGCAAGAGCACUUUUAAUCUUUUUUCCUCUACAGGCUUCUCCAUCAGCCGUUUACUCUAAUAAAAGAUUCAGCUAGCAUAAAACAAUAAUUUGACAGGAAGUAAAAAGCCUAUACUUGAGCUUUUAAACUAAUCAGUUGUUUUAUAAUAAUAGGCACAUUAAUGUAGAGACUAUCAACUGUAGAGUCAGUAAAACCAAUCUACACAAUAUAAGAAUUUUUUUAUUAAUAUUCUUAAAAAUUAUUAUAAUUAUAAAAAUAGUUCUUUAAAAAAAUUAUUUAUAAAACUAGUCUUACACAAUAAAUGAAUUACUGAUUUCUAAAUGCGAUAAAUUAUCCACCGCUUUCUAUAAAAUAUUAAAAUUACUUUUAGCGUUUAAUGUCAUACAUCUUAUUUUUUGUAGUUCGACCAUAAAAAAUAUAGUGUAGAGCUACUAUGCUAUCAGAAGCAUAAAAGGUUUUAUGUUUUCGACUUUUUGACUCUUGGAUCAAAAAUUGUACAGUUGGGAUGAUUGUGGUCCCCCCUAGGAUUGAGGUAGCACUAGGGUGUCAAACGGCCGGGCGGCCGCGAGUCCGCCCGGCCGGCACGAGAGUGGGCGCGGGCCAGGCACGGCACGAGUACUGUAGCGGGCCGUGCCGGCCCGACCCGGCCAGUCAAAUCGGGUCGUGCUGGGCCUUGCUCCUGUGGCUUGAUGGCCCGGCACGGCCGCGGCACGACCCGAGCCUGGCCGUGCCGGGCCUGAGAGUUUACCUUGCCGGCGGCGCGGCAUGACACGCCCGACCCAUGUGGCAGGGUCUUCGAGCCGGGCCCAGGCAUGGACUUGGGUACGACGGCCUUACCCAACUCCCAAGGCCCUGUACUACCCAACUCCCAAUGCAUUGGGAGUUGGGCUUUGGGGCUCUCCCAAGGUCUGUGAUAAUAGAUCCUUGGGAGUUGGUUUGGACCAAAAUCCCUCCAACAGUCAAAUUUUUGAUUGUGGGAAGGGCAUUUUGUUCCAAAAAUUUAAAAUUAAAAUAAUUUAAAAUUUUAAUAUUUUGUAAAUAUAUUUUAAAAUUUUAAUUUUUUAUUGAUAUAUAAUUUUUAAAAAUAAUAUUUUUAUUUUUAUUUUAAAAAAAAAUUAAAAUUUUUUAAAUAAAAUUAAUAAAAUAAAAAAAAGGGCUGGCCCGAAGCCGCCCAGCCAGGCACGGCUAGGGGUGGCAAUCUCAGCUCGCUGUUCGCGAGCCAGCUCGUGUUCGGCUCGAAAUGAGCUCGAGAUCGGCUCGCUCAUUUAGUAAACGAGCCGAACACGAGCCGGAUUUUUCAGCUCUUUAAUAAACGAGCCGAACACGAGCUAGGGUCAGCUCGCUCGCGUUCGGCUCGAUAACAGCUCGAUUUUAUUUAUUUUAUAUUAGUAUAAUUUUUUUAUAUUAUAAUAUAUAUAUAAUUAUAUUUGUAUAUAAAUAUAUAAUACAGAUUAUUAAUUUUAAAAUUUUAGCCAUUCUAAAUGGAUUAUCUUGGGCCUAAUCUUGGUUUGGGCCACGAUGCUAGAGAGAGAGAGACCGACUCAGGAUGCUAUAGAUGGAUUAUCUUGGGCCUUAUCUUGGACCCGACUCAGGAUGUGGAGUCGGGUCCGACGAUGUUACAGAGAGAGACCACAGACCAGCUACCCGAUAGCCGGUUCCAGGUGCGGAUUCGGGCUCGGGAAGCGCUACAGUGAGGAAGCGCGGACCCGUUGCCCGAAACCCCACUCUCCUUUAGAUUACGCCGCCGCCUUGUCCCAUUCUUCACCUUGGAUCCUCCCAUGUCUCACCCAUGUCUCACCGCCGCCUUGUCCCAUUCUUCACCUUGGAUCCUCCCUUGUCCCAUUCUGCGACGAUGCUUCUCGCUCGCAGCGAACUUCGGCAGCGGCAGCGAACUUCGACAACGGCAACAGCAGCGGCAGCAAACUUCGACAGCGGCAGCGGCAGCGAACUUCGACAGCGGCGCUAACGAGCCGAACACGAGCUAGCUCGAUUAAGUUGCGAGCCGAUCACGAGCCGGAGUUUUCGAGCUCGUCACGAGCUCGAGCCGAACACGAGCCGACCUGAAGACGUUCGAGCCGAGCUCGAGCUGGCUCCAGCUCGCUCGAGCUCGACUCGUUUACAGCCCCCUAGGCACGGCCCGUGCAGUGCGGGCCGGGAGGCCGUGCUGAGAACUUUGGCCCGGCACGGCACGGCCCGAUUUUGGGGCCGGGCCGUGCCGGGCUGGCCUCCGGCCCGUUUCGACCCGGGAAAGGGUUGAGUGAUCCCCACAGGGUAAUAGUAUUAAUCCAAAGGUUAAAAAUGAUCAAAGGGGUUAAUCUAAGGGCCAAAAAGUCAGAAGCAUCAGAUCCUCUAUGCUUGCGAUAACAUAGUAGCUCUACUAAAAAAUAUAUAAGGUUGGUGAAAAUAGUGAAUAAUUUAUCGUUUUUAGAAAGUGGUGAAUAAAAAAUUCUAAAAGGUCAAGUUGCCCAAAAAAAAUCCAAUAUAAUCAAAAUCAAGAUCACAUUGAGGGACCACCCCUACAAAGAAUAUCUACGAAAGAAUAUGUAUGAUGCCAUACAAACAGUAGGGGUACUGUAGCCACAUUUAUGCUAUCAAUUGGCCCACUUAAUUUUGCUUGUACAUUCUUGGUAUGGAAUUUAACGGGACCAUCAACCAUAUCUACUGUUUCAUGUGCAUGUCCAUAAAUAAAAGCUUUGCCUAAUAGAGAAUUUCAUCCACUCCACCACUUGGAAUAGGAAUUUCAUAUUAACAGAGUCAAAUUUACUAUUUACAAAUAGAUUUGUCAAACUUGAUCACUUUCCAUUACUUGGAUUUGACCAAAUUUGAUGAAUCUGCGAGGCAAACUUUUUAUCUAACGCAACUGACACAAAGAAAAAUGAGGACAAAUUGUCAAAACAAAACACAAGAUGGGUCUGAGCAAGCUAAGCCUAAAUACACAUUCAUAAAUAGUUUUUUCAUAAUUAGUAAAAGGAGAUAUCAACCUCUAACCUCGCUACUGUUUGGUCUAGCUAGAGCUUCCGCGAAAGUGUUGUAUGCUUAAAAGCUACCCAAACUUCAGAAAUUGAAAAAACACUGCCAACAAAUUCUAGCAUUUGCAACUGGAAGCAAAAUCACAAUGGAGUCAAAAAAGCAACAUAGAAAGUAGUCUCUAUUACAAAGAAAAACACCCUGCACUUCUGAUCUAUUUUAUUUGUUUUAAGAUCUAUUAUUAAAGUUGGACCUUAGAUGUUCCGAACCAACAUAAUAUGCUAACUCAUUCUAGUAAUGUUUUGCAUCUAAAUUCAACAAUUGUUCCAAAUUUUUCAACCAACUUGACAUGGUGGUGAUGUGCAAAGUGAGAUUGAUGCAACAUUUUAUGCCAAAAGAUAACUGAAACAGGUUAAAGGGCAAGGAUUUUCUGUAGUUUAGCCUGCUAAUAAUUUGUCUUAUAUGGAAAAUUUUAGAAAGAAACUUAGUUACCUGCAGGCAACUGCGGGGAUGUCGUCGCUGAUGAGCAUGGCUCCACAGAAGGCCGUGCUGGCCGAGACAGGCCAAGUGGUCGAUGCUCGAGAUGUUAAGAUCGACACGGUCCUGGCAGUCAAAGCUGGGGAAGUGAUCCCAAUCGACGGCGUGGUCGUCGACGGGAGGAGUGAAGUCGACGAGAGAAGCCUAACGGGAGAGUCAUUUCCUGUUGCCAAGCAGCCAAAUUCCCAGGUGUGGGCUGGGACACUCAACAUAAAUGGUACCACCUUAGUAGACUAGGCCCUUCAUUGUCCUUCCAAUGUAUGUGAACUUAAAACACAUAGUUCUUCAUAGGGUUCACAUGGAUAAUUGUAGCUAUGAUCAUUGUUUCUUCUGUAGGAUACAUUAGUGUGAGGACAACAGCAAUGGCUGAGAACUCUGCAGUGGCUAAAAUGGCAAGGCUAGUUGAAGAAGCGCAAAACAGCAGAUCCAAGACGCAGCGAUUGAUCGAUUCCUGCACCAAAUACUACACACCAGGUAAGCGAGUAAUUUUUCUUUAACAUGAUCAUAGUUUUACUAAUAUAGUUGGUUAUCGUACUUAAAGAGUUUGAUUCGAUGAUUAAUCUCUACGUUUGAGAUGAUAAUUAGCAUAACAUAAGCUGUUAUUUCUACCUCAUCUGGACUUACCUAGCAUUGUGUAUGAUUAAACUACUACAAAGAAUAUAAACUAAUCUAUUAAUCAACUGGCCGCAAAGGUUUUGCUGUCAAUUCUCCUCUAGCUCUAAUAUUUUACGAAGCACAUAGUAGUUUCCAAAGGGAAAAUCACACUGUUUAGUUAUUAAAGUAAUCAUAUAUAUUCACUAAGGUCACCAAACUUCAAUUUGUUCCAACAGUCGUAUGAAACUUUAAUUUCAGUUUCAACCACACUUUGUUAAAGAGUUUAACAGAGUGACUGAGACAGAGAUAGAAAUUUGGUACAACAGUCUGAACAAAUCAAAGUUUGGUGAUCUAAGUAAAACUUCGACAUAACUUCCGUGAGACCGUGACCAACAGUAGUUUGACCAUUUCUAAAGAGUAACUAGUUAACAAACUCGCUUUAACAAAUCAAUAAUUUAAAUCUUAAAAUGCCAGACAAGGAAGCCUUCUUGAAGUACUAGUGUGCUUGAAAUAUUUAUAUUCGAUAGUUGAAAAUUGCUGCCUAUGUGUGAUUCUUGGCUCAUAUGUUACCUGUUUCUUUCUGCAGCUGUCGUGUGCCUAGCAGUAGCGGUCGCAUUGGUUCCCUUAAUAACGAGAAUCUGGAGUCACAAAAUAGUCCGGAACCCCAAAGGCUGGUACCAAUUGGCACUGGUCCUCCUAGUGAGCGCGUGCCCCUGUGCUCUGGUGCUCUCAACACCCGUUGCGACCUUUUGUGCACUCCUCAAAGCUGCGAGAACUGGGCUCCUCAUCAAAGGUGGGGAUGUCCUUGAAACUUUGGCGAAGAUCAGCGUAGUAGCCUUUGAUAAAACUGGAACAAUCACAAAAGGAGAGUUUGAUGUUAGAGAGCUCAGAACGGUUCAAAGUGAGGUCUCCCUCCAUACACUUCUUUACUGGUAAGUUUCAAUAUGUAUUAUAGGAUCUUUUAAAAAAAAAAAAAUUGGAGACCAUUUGUCGGUAACCAAGUUGAGAAACUUUUUGAAGUUUGCUGAACUACACUACCAGUUACUGAACCUAUGGUGACAUGUCACCUUAGUCUUCACCAAACUUGCAAUUUGUUGCAACUAUACAAGGAAGCUCUAUUUUUGCUUCAAUUAAAUCACUCCAUUAAACUCCGGUUAGUAUCCCACAGGGAUGACUUGGGCACCUGACUCAAUUGCUAUGUCAUGUUGUGACUGCUGAUUUAACUAGCAAAUAAGCUCUUGAGACGAUGCAGCAUUUGAUCAUAAGAGCCUUGAAAUGAGUUGCUUUGUCAUUGCUGUAUCAUGUUUUAGAGAUGACACGGCAGUUGAAUAUACUGUCCAUCAUCCCUUCAUUGUGGAAUUAAAGUGAGGUUGUGGAGUAACCUGAUAGACUGAAAAACUAAACCUCUUAAGUAUAAAUGGGCCAAAAUCUCAAGAAACACUGAAACAGUAAUUAAUGUUUAGCGCAUCAAUUGUGACAACGUGGAGUGCAGGAUCUAAGAGAAAUUUCACAAGAGAUUCACUGACCAAUGAUAUUAAUUACCAUUAGAAAUUCAUUUGUCAAGAAGAUCUUCCACAGAGAGAUAGUUGUUCAAUUCAUGCAGAUCCAUCUUAUUCAGAAGACAGUCAAAUAGGCCCCAUUAUUCAUGUUCUUCAUCUCUCCUCUUUCCCUUAAAACAAAUUAACAAGAAAAUUAUUUGGCAUUCAAUGAUUUGUUAAGAUUUUAAGUUUUUCAUAUUUUUGUUGAAACUUGGCUGAGUCUCAUAGUUCUUCAGGGUUUCAAGCAUCGAGAGUAAAUCCAGCCACCCAAUGGCAUCUGCACUAGUUGAUUAUGCUCGAUCAAACUCAGUCGAACCGAAACCAGAGAAUGUCGCAGAGUUUCACAUCUAUCCUGGUGAGGGAAUUUAUGGGAAAAUAGAUGGAAAAGAUAUUUAUGUUGGAAACAAAAGAAUUGCAGCCAGAGCAACAUGUGAGACAGGUUGGUAAUUGAUUCAUCUUUGGGUUAGAAAAUUAGUCCCUGAACUUGGACUCAGAUUUCAAUUUCAUUCCUAGAUUCAAUACCAACAAUUAGCCUUUGAAUCAUCUUUAAUCAGUCCAUGAAGUUUGACCCCAAUUUCUAUUUCAUUCUUACAUUUUAUGGUGCUGAUGUUGUGACAAAUCAUCCUUUUUAAGAUGAUAGAUUAGUUGAAGGGCUUAACUGUUCUGCGGGAAAAAUUUCAGGGACUAUAUUGUUGAAAUUGAUACUAUGAAGAUGAAAUUGAAUUGCGGGUCAAGCUUAAGGGGCUAAACUAUAAAUUAACCCUUUUUUAAUAUAUGUUGCAUUGUUUGAUUUAUCCACUGAAUUACCAAAACCUUCAAGAAUUUCUGUAGGAAUGAAAUUCUCAAUAAAGAAAGAAAAUCCAUGCAUAGACAUGAUUUUUCAAGCUAUACCGAGAAUUUCUAAUAGACUGAUCCUCAAAAUUUUAGUUACAAACAUGGAUGAUAAGGAGGGAGGAGUUACCAUUGGAUACGUGAUCUCAGAUUCAGUAUUAGUCGGAGUAUUUACGCUGUCUGACACAUGUCGGACAGGGUCGGCAAAAGCAAUCAACGAUUUGAAAUCUUUAGGCAUCAAGUCGGUAAUGCUUACCGGAGACAGCACUGCAGCAGCUACACAUGCCCAAGAUCAGGUACAUGAUAUUCUUUUGAGAUAUCGAAUACAAAUUGCUAUAAAUUAACUACUUAAAAGAUACAUCCCUGCAAAUAUGAAUUUCAUAUAUACCUUUUACAAACUUGAUUUCUUACGUAUAAAGAAAAUACCCUAUUUGAAAAUUUUCUAUUAAUACUGGAACAACUUUGCCCUCUUCAUUUGGACAAUUCCCCACUUUCAACAUAUAGCUGUUUCUUAUAAGAAACUGCACUUUCAAGCAAUGUAAUUCAAAAAAACUGCAGUAUAUACGAAAAUUCAGAUUUUACAGGGUAUAUAUAUAUGUAAUUAGAUAAUUUUGAAGGGAUAUAUAGAUAUUUAAAAUCCUAUAUUUUGUCAUACAAAGGAUCAUUCAAGUGAAGAAAUGAAAAGAAAUUAAUUCAAAUAAAGAAAGCAACAGCCUACUAUUAUCUCACUUUUAAUAGCAUGAUUAUAAUUAUACAGCUAGAGCAAGCUCUUGAAGAACUUCAUGCAGAGCUUCUACCAGAGGACAAGGUUCAAAUAGUGAGCGAGCUCAAGACAAAAGAAGGGCCCACAUUAAUGGUCGGAGAUGGCAUGAAUGAUGCACCAGCAUUAGCCAUGGCAGACGUGGGAAUCUCGAUGGGGAUAUCAGGUUCAGCUGUAGCAAUGGAAACCAGCCACAUAACCCUAAUGUCUAAUGACAUUGGCAAGAUCCCAAAGGUUAUUAGGCUCGCAAAGAGGACCCAUUUUAAAAUAAUAGAGAACAUUAUCUUCUCAAUUAUUACAAAAGUCGCUAUCGUCGCUCUUGCCUUUGCCGGCCAUCCGCUACUUUGGGCAGCCGUCCUUGCCGAUGUUGGGACAUGCUUGCUUGUGAUCUUGAAUAGCAUGACGCUCCUACGAGAAACUACCACAAAGGGUAAGAAAUGUUGUGGUUCUUCGCAUAAAUCGCUCGUCAAAAGGACUGAUCAUGCAGGUCAUUGUGCCAAUGGUGCAUGUACAACAUCUAGCACUCGUGGGCAAAUUAAAACAUCCAGUUGCAGUGAUAAGCAUAUUUGCCAUGAGAAUGAGAAGGAAGAGGUUGGAAAAAGAGUGUCUCAUAUAGAGUCACCAAAUCAUGUCCACUGUUGUCAUGAACAAGUUAAAGACACAAGAAAUGCGAGCCAAGAAAACUUGAUCUCGAUUAGUUCCGAAUUAGGGCAUCAUGGUGAUGACUGCUUGCAUGAAGAGCACUUAGAGAAGCAUCAUGAUACAUGCAACCAUGUAUUAGACGAUGAUGAUCAUGAUGAUGAUUCGUGGAUAUCUUCAAAGGUUUGUAGAGAGAUAAGCAAUGGCUGUUGUGGAAGUGAAAGAAUGCAAUGUGGUCAAGGAAUAGAGGGUUAUUUGUGCUCGCAAGAGAUCAAGGAGAAGAGAGAGAUUGGUGGUUGCUGCAGGAGCUGCAGACAGGAUUGCAGAGAGAGGGAUGGUUGCUGUGGAAGUGCGAUAGUAAAACUGCCAGAAAUAAUUAUAGAAUAGAAGCAUAUAUUUCAAUUAAAGUUCAUCAUUGGCUUCAAUCAGAGGGCCAAGGUGGAUAUAUAUAUAUAUAUAUAUAUAUAAGUUUUAUUUUUCCUUUCACUUUCUGGGUUUUACAGAAAUAGAAGGGAGGAAAAAAAUCCAAUUUUGGUUUCCACUACAUGUUUUUGCAUGAGAUUGAGAAACACUAACAUGUUAAUCUCAUUGAAUGAAGGAAAAAAUUGGCAUCUUUUUGAGUGCUAUGUAGACAAUUUUGGAGAACACAAAAAGUUGACAGAAAUUGCAAGAUUUUAUGAUUGUUAGGGUACCAGACAGAAAACAUCUACAGAGAAGAACCCUUUGACCUGACUGAUUGGAGAGGACAUUCAAGAGAGGGAACAAACAGCUUUAAGGAUUUCUACAUGAUUACAUUACAGCCAAAUAGAAAGAAGGAUACUCAGUCUAUGGCUUAACUUCUGGAACAAAGGUGUUGAAGGAAAGCUUAUAGGCUGUUUAUUUAUUGGGGCUACAUGUUGAUUCACUUUCUCGAGUGAUAAAUCUUUGUAGUUUUGGAAUUUUGCUUGUAUGGAUGAUUGAUGAACUAAAGUAUACAAAUAACAGUUGAUGGAAAACCAAGAGUUAACAAAUUUCAGGAUGAAAUAAAUGUAAUCGUCGAUGAGGAAAAUGCUAUUCUUGAAACACAUUGAUGCUCUUCCAUUGCUGUUAUGCAAGAGGAAAGGCUAAGUGAAGAUGUCAGCUAACAUCCCAAUCCUGUGUUCUCUAUCCCCAUGCUUUCCUAAGAAACUCAUCACUUGUUUCAAUUUUAUGCUCUGAAGCCUGAUCUGGGGCAUGUACUAUCUUAGCAUAAUUAUGCACCAAGAUGGAAAUUGUAACUUAAAAAUCUCAAGUGAAAAUCUUGUGACGCCAGAAAUAACAUCCCUCUUCCACCUUAGCUAAUGCCUCAUAAGGGAUGAACUUCUGUUUAAUAACCAAGUGGACCAUUUAUUCCUCCUCUUCUAAAAUAUUUUAGAUUAAUGUUAUAGAUUUGAAAGCUUUCCUGUCUUCUAUGUAAGUUCCUACUUUCUUUUCUUUCUUUUUUUUUUGGUGCUCCCAUUCUUAGGCAAAGCUUCAAAUAUUCAUUAGUACAAUCCAUGCAAAGCUCAAGCAUGAAGUAACUCAUUUUUUAAAAAAUAAUAAUAAUCAUACAUUAACCUUCUUGCACAAAUGAAACCCAAAUAAUACAAUUUGAGAAGCCAAACAUACAACUAUAGAUGUACGAAACUUCAACUGAAUAUAAAAUAUUAAAAUACCAUUCUUUGACAGCUUAAUUUUUGGAGAUUACGGUUAAUCUAUAUAGCAUCAGAGCAGAAAGUCCUGAAAUCAAACUGCUAUAAAAUAUAUUGAGUCGAGACAUCAGGAGAAGUCGAAUAUAUAAUACUAAAACACCGAGCCUAAACAUGAGAAGUAUUGAAUAUAUAAUAUUAAAAUAUCGAGUGUUGAAUAUAAACGCUAUAAAAUAUUUAAACACCGUUCUCUAAUAACUUAGACUUUUGAGAUAAAUGGUUGUUUCACAACUUCAAAUCCAUGAAACAAGAGAAUAAUUAGAUAAUUUCCUCUUUUAGGACACAAUUAUUAACACUAGAGGAGAAAAAAAAAAAAAAAAGAUACAAUCAUGAUACUCAUAAUUCUCUUAGUCUUCAUCAUCCUCUUAACACAAACUACUUCAACCAAUCCCAUUGUUUUGGGCCAAAAUUUCUACAAGGAGCUCCUUUUACAUGAUCAUAUGACCAUCUAUUAGCAAGAAAAACACUGAAUUUGAGGAACUAAAACCUAAUUCGAACUAAUUUUACUACAUACCUUCGUGGACAAUUCCACAAACAAUUGAUGGGCAUUGGAAGAGAAUAUUUGCGCCAGAAAAUUUAAGAAAAAUUGCAAAUAAAUCAGAGCGAAUACUUGAGAUUGUUGAAGCAUGAGGGGAUUUUAGAUCGAUACCUCAUCAAAAAUUUGCAAAUUUCGCGCUCGAUGAAACCAAAAAGCUAAGACGCCCAAUUUGAGCUUCAUGUUGGCGCCGGUGCUUUGAAACGUGCGCUGGAGAAAUUUUAAAUAAGAGAUUUAUUAUACUAGUGGUACCUAACCUAAUAUUUGGUGUGUUUUUUACAUUUAACCCCUUCAAAAGAUUUUAUUUUGUAAACAACCCAUCAAAGUUAUAAAUAGAAAAUUGGCUCUAUAUUGUACACGUAAAUAGACUUAGCAAACGGGCGGGUUGGAUAACUGCUGACGAGUUAUUGUACCUACGGGUCAUAUUGGCAUGGGUAAACUUUACCCCGAAUGGGUAGACGGGUAAAUAUGCAGGUCACCUGCAAGAUUUUUUUUCUAUGCUUCUAUACUUUUUCAGAUACAAAAUACAAAUAUAAAAAAGUAUAAUAUAAUUUAUUGUUAGAAAUAUCAUAAUAUGUAAUAAAUAAUAUAAAAUCUUAAAAUGUAAAAAUAGUUUAUCAUUCCAAAUUUUUAUAACACACAAUUAAUAAAGUUUUUUUUAUGAUCAUAAAAUCAAUAUUGUAAAGAUUGUAUAUUUUUUUAAUUUAAAAAAUAUAAACGGGCAUCCAUGGGUACACACAGGUUGCCCAAAAUAUCCACAACUUAAAAAGGUACCCGCCUAUUUUAUUAAUAAUUUUUGGAUAAAAAAAGUUUAGCACCCAUACCCGUAAAUUUGCAGAUAACACGCGUACCCGCAGGUACGGAUAUAGUUUGCCAGGUCUCGAUACACAGAACAAGAUAUUCAUGCAUAUAAACGGGGCAAGGUAUUGUUAUCCAUAAUUUGUUGGUAUAGUAUAUUUUACUAAUAAGAUGAUUUAUUUUAUUCUAAAAAAUGACAUAAAAUUCAAAUAUGAUAUUAUAUUCUGUACAUUUAAUCACACUCCUUAUCAAUCAAAUAUACAAAAUUUUUUAAGUAAAUUAAAAAGAUAUAUUGAACAAAAUAUCAAUGAAUCCAGAUAUGGUACAAGCUUCUUAAAUAAAUGGGACAAUUUUCUGUGUGCCCCUCUAACAGUAAGUAUUUACAUAGAUGCCCCUAUAAAAGUUGAAAUAUCCUAAAUGCCCCUCUAAAUAUAGAAAACUUUAAAAAUAGCCUUCAAAACACAUUUUUGUUAUAAUCUACGGUAACAACAAUCAAAAUACCGAUUUUACCCUUUUCAUAAUUGCCCUUUUAAAUAUUUCAAUUAUUAGAAAUAAUUUUAACUUUUGUAAAUACCCCAUAAAUUUAAAAGUUUUACAAAUUUAAAAGUUAUUUAGUUAUAUUUUCACAUUGAUUUCUGUAAGAAUUAUAUAUUCUAAAAGAAUAAUAUUUUUAUCUUACUCAAUAUUAUUGAAUAUUUCUAAAUUUUUUUAAAAUGGAGAGAGAAAAUAAUAAAUAGCUGAAAAAUUACAAAGUUUUAUCAUUAAUUAUAAAGCAUAAAAUUACUUACUAGAUUUGAAAUUACAAUAAAACGAUUUAGCAUUGUUUACAAAUUUUUUUAAAAAAAACUCAGAUUAUAUGAUAAAUUUUAUAAUCAAGGUUAGAGAAAUGCAAAUGUACUAAAUAACAGUGUGAAUUGACUUUUAUUAAUAUUUUAAUAGUAUUUAAAUUGAAUACUUGUAUCUUUAUCUAAACUAAUUACUAGUGAGGGACAAUUUUGAAAAUUUAUUUGUUGUACAUUUCAUCACAUUAAAGUGCUUUUUCAAAAAAAUUUAAAAAAUUCAGAAUAAAAUGAACAUUUUCAUUCAUUCAUAAUAACCUAUCUAAAUUAAAUAAAUGUUUGGUAGGGAGAUAUAAAUUAACAACGAGAAUAUAUUUAUAAGAUAGUAUUUGUAAGGGUAUUUGUGAUAUAAUCAAAUUUGUAGGGAUGUUUAUAAUAUUUUGAACGUUUAGAGGGGUAUGAAUGAAAUUAACCCUUCAUUAGUAAUAAUUGGAACAUUUAAAAGGGCAAUUAUGAAAAGGGUAAAAUCGGUAUUUUAAUUAUGAAACGGAUAAAAUCGGUAUUUUGAUUGUUGUUACCGUAGAUUUUAAUAAAAAUAUGUUUUGAAGGGUAUUUUUGAAAGUUUUCUAUAUUUAGAGGGGCAUUUAGAAUAUUUCAAUUUUUAUAGGGGUAUUUGUGUAAAUACAUGCUUUUAGAGGGGCACACAGGAAAUUUUCCCUAAAUAAAUUGUGAUAAUAUGUCAAACAAUAUAUUAAUGCAUUUAAAAGGACCUUCAUGUUUGGAGAGCCCGGUCUACAGACCGUGGUCCAGGCAAUAAUUUCCAGCUUCCACCAACCAGCGAGUUGUCUAAGUCCACGUGGCUGCACGACAGGAGCCGCUUGAUGGCAACCUAACGAAAAAUUCUAGAAUAAGGGAGUCAUUGUCUGCACCGGGUGUAUAAGUACAUCCCGUACACCACGAACUUAUCCAAGAUCUCAAAUUAAAUUCUGAUUCAUUCAGUGUUGUUUCGAUUUACUGUCAACUAUACUGGUUUACAAAUUUUAUUACUAAAGCAUUUCCAUGAUUCUUUUAAUCUAAUUAAUUAAAAAAUAUAAUAUUACAAAAUAUCUAUGUCAAAUUUAUAAAGUAUAUACACUAAUGAGUCCGACUACUAUACUAUUGACUGCACCAAGCACUUAGUGCUAUUAAGUUUUCUGCCGUUAGAUCUGCUCGUUUGACCAUUUUCAUCCGUUAGAUCAUACUAUUCAACCAAGUACGCACUUAAUCCUGAAGAAUCACUAUCAUCGUAAUCAAAGAUCACUAUCAUCCUGAUCAGAGACCACUAUCAUCCUAACCACACAUCCCUUCAUCAAAGAGCCAAAAACCUAAUAGCACAAAGCGUUUGGUACUAUAAAUAAUAUAGUAGCCUAAUUAUACACUAAUAGCCUGAUAAAAUAAUAAUAUAACAUAAAAAUAGUCUGCUAGGAAAAUAGAUCAAAUCAAAUUAUCUAAUAUGGAUGAAAUUGUGUGUAGGAUUAUUUUAUUAUUAUGAAGGUAUACUUGUGUCCAAUUAGUUUUUGAAUCACAUAAUUUCACUUCCUAUAUCAUUAGUUUUUUAUGUUAUUUACUUGCUAGAACUAAUUUUUUAUGUUACUUUCAUUUUAAUUAAAAGUUACUUAUCAAAUAUUGGGUUUAUCUCAUGACACUUAUGAUACACUAAGCAUACGCAAUGGAUUCUAGAAAAAAGGAAAAAAUCAACCAUCAGUAUCAGGAAUGAAAAAUAGGUAGAUCCGCCCACCUAAGAGCCCAGUUUCCUUCGAGGGUCGGAAUGGAUUCGAAUCACAGUAAUUUUUAUUUAUUUUUUAUCUCUAUUUACUGCUUUAUUCAUGACGGAUCGGAGUAAGAAUAAAUUUUUAGCAUAUCGAGGCAAAUCAAAGGAAGAAAAGAAUUUUCCACCUCCUGCUCUUUUGUUUUCAGUGGACCGGAGUAGAUUUGCGAUGAUUUAUUAUUAUUUUAUUUUUGGCCCCAAUUACCUCCAUUCGGGGUUGGAGCUCCAUCAUCCAUUUGCUGCCAAAUCCAAAAUGAUAAUUUGGUAAAUCAACAAUAGGGUCCACUAGAUCUACUUUUAUUUAACUUUUAUUGUAUUUAUAUCAAUAAAUGCUAAUUCAGAUACCCUAUAAAAAUUUUCUCUCGAUGGCAUAUAUAAUAAUAUUAUUGAUGAGUUGAUAAUAUUAUUAUUAAAUUCUAAGCACUAUCAUUAUACUCUAAAUACAAUUAUUAAAUUCUAAACAUUAUAAUUAAAUAUUAAACUCUAAAUCCUAAACUCUUUUUUUAAGUGCCAUUACAUCAACGAAUAAUUCAACAACAAUAUAAUAGGUACAAAACAUUAUUCUAUCAAAUAUUAGGAGUGGUUCAUGAUUCACGUGGUACACCAGGUUCAGGCGAUGAAUUUCUUGGGGACAAAAAACAAGCAAGGAGCAUCGACGAUCGGAAUUGGGUGAGCCAACUGUCGGGUCCACGACAUCAACGGCUCACGCCGAAAUCCCAACCGCAAAACUGAUUCGAAGUCAGCGUCGUAGGCUAACUGCCGCACCGCCACGUGUCGGUUGAAGGCCGGGAGGUUGGGGUCGGCUCUGAAGGUUAAAUGGAGGGAUGUUGAUGGGUACGAAUACAUGAAAUUUUAUCCGAAUCCGAAUUUGAACAGAGCGGAUUUUCGACGGAUGUGUAUACGGAUAUAGAUUUUGAGUAUACUCGCCUCAAACCCAAACACGAACCCGACCUAACUCAAAUUAAUUUUAUAUUAUAUAAUAUAUAUAGAGUUCGGCUGCAAUGCUAUCGAUAGCACUAAGCACUUAGUGUUAUCAAAUUUUAUGCCGUUAAAUCAACCCUUUUGAUUAUUUUCAUCCGUUAGAUUAUAUUAUUCAACCAACCACCCACUAAACUCUAAGGAAUUAUUAACAUCAUAAUCGUACAUCGCUUCAUCUAAGAUCCAAAAACUUAAUGGUACCGAUGACUAGGUGCUAUUAAUGGUUCACAUAUAUAGAGUGGGUUGGUAUGCUUAGGAAAGCACGGAGCCCUUCGUGCUUUCAAGUUGUUUUCGAUGUUCGGACUUUCGAAUCGACGAUCGGCUCCGUUUGUAACAUAUGGAAACUUGGAGUCGCGAUGUCAACUUUGACCUAGAGGGUCAAAGUGAGGAUUGAGCUAGUUGGACAUUAUCCCCGAGGGAUUUGUGAUGCGUUGGAAUGAGUUCCAAAGAGAAAUAAGUGUGUUGGCGCAAAUUGGGUGCGAAACGAAAUGUAAAGAGAGUAAAGAGAAUUUCGGAUUUCCGACGCUAACUUUGAUUAAAAGAAUUAAAGUAAGGCGGAAGGAUACAUUGUGGUAUCUCCGAAUCAAUUGUGAAGUUUUGGAAAAGCCAAGGGUGUGUUUUCAAAGGGUUUUGAAGAGCUCAGUGCGAAGUGGUAGUGCAAAACGGCCAUGUAUUGGAAUUGGAGCCGAUUCUAUUUCUAAUUCGGCUCAAAUAAUGUCAAAAUGAAAAGGAAUUGCUUCCAAAUUAAAUUGGUAGCUUGGGAAGGUCCCUUGGUGUAUUUUGGAAGUGUUUGGGUGAAAUCGGAGCGAAAACGGAAAAUUUAGAAUUUUCUGUAAGGAACGGGACUGAGAAAAUUAGCAGAAAAUGCACAGUGUCAGAAAAUUACGAAAAUUGGCAGAGAUGUCAGGAAUAUUAUUAUAAGGCUAGUUUUGAAGUUUCAGAUUUUUCUGACACCUGUAGAGAGAGAAAUAGCAUCUGGAAAUUAUCUGAUAAAGAUUACAGUUCGGGACAGUUCGCAGUGACCAAACGGGGUCGAAACUGAAAUGUUAAAAUUUCAGUGGACUUGUUAAGUAAAAACGAACAUUCCUGCCAAAUUUGAGCUCAAUCGGACUUUCGGAUGAGCCUACGAAAGGUAUUUGAUCCGAGUUGCGCGACGGAGUAUAAGUCGAGGGCAAUUUGGUAAUUACACAUGGCUUAGUGGAUUUCCACUAAACCUGCCAGUAGGGGAGCUCCAUCCUUAUCCCCCCCCCUUCAGCCUGCCUACGUAGAGAGAGAGAAGGAGAAAAGAAGAGAAAAGAGAAGAAGAGAAAAGAGAAGAAGAAGAAGAAAAAGAAGAAAAGAAAGGUGAGAAUUUUCCUCUCCCUCUCUCUGCUGACUAUAUCCCUUCCCCUCUCCCUCUCUCUGCUGUCAGCAGUAACCUCACCAGUAGCAGUAGUAGCAUGAGAAGCUGCAGCAGCAGCAAGCUGCAGCAGCUCAGCCAGCAGCUGCUGCCAGCAGCAGCCUUAGCAGCAGCAGCAGCAGCUGCAGCAAUCAGCAGCAGCAGCUGCAGCUAGCAGCAGCAGCAGCAGUGGCACCAGCAGCCUGCAGUCAGCAGGAGCAGCAGCAGCAGCUGCUGCUUCAGCAGCAGUCAGCAGCAGCUGCUUCAGCAGCAGCUGCUUCAGCAGCAGCUUGCGCAGGGAGUAGCAGCAGCAGCUUCAGCAGCAGGCAGUGAGCAGCAGCAGCAGGAGCUUCAGCAGCAGCAGUAGCUUCAGCUGCAGGGAAGCAAGAAAGAAAGAAAAGAAAAGAAAGAAAGGAAAAGAAAGAAAAGAAGGAAAGAAAGAAAGAAAGUAAGAAAUGAAAUAAAAGAAUAGAGAGGAAUGAAAGAGAGAAAAUGAGAAAGAGGAAGAGAUUGAAAUGAGUUGAAAUACUCUAUACAAUUUGUAAAAUUGCAUAGAAACAGGUUUAAUAGAAAACUGACCGCGACAAUGCACUUUUACAAAAUAAGAGUCCUGAUGCGAAAUUGACCGCGUGUAAACCAAAUUGAGGGUAAAAGAAACGCGUUGGCGAAGUCGGUUCGGCAAUCCGACGAACCUACGCAAAGAUAUCGCCAAAAGAAGGUUUUCGGCUAUAGUUGCCGUUUUAUAUAGCAUUGUAAUGCUAACUUGUAAAAUAUGAGUUAUGACUCAAGUUUAAUCUCUUUUAUACUUGUUUGAAUGAAGAUUAAACUUGCCCAAGAGUCUAAAUUGACUUUCCGACAGGUCGACGACGCUCUAAUUACGGUAGCGGCCGUUCUAGUCCUAUUUGCACAGAGUCGCGAGAGAUAGUCGUCGACGCUUUCCGAGACGUGGAUUCUAGUUGAUUGACACCACUACAGGUGGGUGGUGCUAUCCGAAGUCUUUGAAUCACCUUUUAUGUCUAUGCUAUUCAUUGAGCAUAUUUACUUCUGUUUUCAUGCAUUAUAGGGUAUGGGCAUUGGCAUUAUGCAAGUGAUAUUGAACGUGUGAAUUCUUAGUGAUAGUAAGAACAUAUGAACAUUAGAAUGUGGACAUAGAACCCUAUGAAUGUAUGAAACUGUAAAGGACCAAGACAAUAGUAAACUUAGUGACAUCAUGACUAGAGAUUUGGUUAGCAUCGAGAAAUGCAAUUAUGAAACUAGUAUAAAGAACUAGUUAGAGUUAAAUUGUGACAUUAUUGUUAGUUGAAUCCUCUAAAGGGGGAUCAGAUCUUACUCACAUAGUCUGUUUUCUUGCUUGGUGGUGGUCGCUCCCCCCAGGCAGUGAGCUCCGGAGUAGUCACUUGUUGGGCUAACGUACUUGCCCCAGGACUAACGUACUUGUCCGACAGACGGUCCCAUCGGGAGGCAGCUUAGGGCCCGUGAGGGAUUUCGUUGGUGAGUUAUUGUUAACCAAAGGGUUAACCACUGAAUUGGGUAAAUUUAUGGGCUAACGUACUUGCCCCAGGACUAACGUACUUGUCCAGCUGUUAACCACAGGGUUAACCAAAAGAUUGGGUAAAGUUAAUGAAAAGCAUGCAUGCAUAUUUACAGUUUUCAUAUCUGUUACUUCUUUCAGCUUUGUACAGGCAUUGUAGUAGUUACAUAUUAUAGUUGGUUACUAUCUCAGUUUACUUUUCUUAUCUACAUAUGCCUGAGUAGACCUAGUGGGUGAGUCGGCGAGGUCGGCGGCCGAACCCACUGGGAACUUUCUUGUAGUUCUCACACCACUAACCAUACAGGUUCCAGUGCGAGUAUUGUGGCCGAGGAUCGAGGCAAGAGCCAGCAGCCUAGCUAGUGGACACCCGAGUACUAGUGGUAUACCAUUUUGGGUUCAUGUAUCAUCUAUUUCGAUGUACAGAGACAUGUAAAUGAAUAUAUAAAGCAUGUAAAUAGCUAAAUGUUUCAGUUAUACAGUUCAGUUUGAAAGUUUUAAGUUACAGUGAAUUUCAUUGUAUAGUUAGUUUACUAUCACUUGUGUUUGUUGCUUGCCUUCGUGCAAGCCAUGUAUAUUGAAAUGUGAUCCUGGGAAUUAUUUAUUUCUCUAUACAUGUAUCCGUUGUUGUUGAGCCUUGGGCGAACAGAGGAGGUGCUGUUCGUUCGGCGUCUGUGUACGGGCCCGGAUCGACCAAAUUGGCGACCGCGGGACGUGACACCGUUAGAGUUGAUCUAGAGUAUUUGAAGUACCUAGAAAAUAAAUUUUGUGAUUUUUCGAUAUCAUUUGCCUAGUGAUCGAAGGGACUCAAAAUCAAUAAUUUUAAUAGCCGUGGUGAGCCGGUUGCAAGUUUAAUGGUGUAGAAAUAUCCAAAUCACAUGAAAUUUUGAUAGAAAAUUCUUUAUACCAUAUAAAACAAGAUCAAUAACUUUGAUCUAAAAUUUAAUGUCAUAUCAUCAUACUUUGUAAGAUUUUUAUUUUCAGUCGUUGAUUUUGAGCCACUUCGAUCGCUAGGCAAAUAAUAUCGAAAAUUCGCAAAAUUUAUUUUCUAGAUACUUCAAAUACUUUAGAUCAAGUCUAACGGAGCCGAUCGU